RNAcentral lists this small nuclear RNA (119 nucleotides) under Mustela putorius furo (domestic ferret). RNAcentral describes it as "U2 spliceosomal RNA". It matches the Rfam family "U2 spliceosomal RNA". Rfam says of the family: U2 is a small nuclear RNA (snRNA) component of the spliceosome (involved in pre-mRNA splicing). Complementary binding between U2 snRNA (in an area lying towards the 5' end but 3' to hairpin I) and the branchpoint sequence (BPS) of the intron results the bulging out of an unpaired adenosine, on the BPS, which initiates a nucleophilic attack at the intronic 5' splice site, thus starting the first of two transesterification reactions that mediate splicing. The record is from Rfam by way of RNAcentral. Lineage: Eukaryota; Metazoa; Chordata; Mammalia; Carnivora; Mustelidae.
AUCGCUUCUCUGCCUUUUGGCUAAGAUCAAGUGUUGUAUAUCCCUUAUAUUCAGAUUAAUUUUAUAUACUUGUAAGAAUUAUUGAUCAUAAGCAAAUUCAGAAAAAUAAUUCACUUGCA